AACGAACGCUGGCGGCAUGCCUAACACAUGCAAGUCGAACGAGACCUUCGGGUCUAGUGGCGCACGGGUGAGUAACGCGUGGGCACCUGCCCUUAGGUUCGGAAUAACUCCCCGAAAGGGCUGCUAAUACCGGAUAAUGUCUUCACACCAAAUACUUAUCGCGUUUGGAUGGGCCCGCGUUGGAUUAGCUAGUUGGUAGGGUAAAAGCCUACCAAGGCGACGAUGCAUAGCUGGUCUGAGAGGAUGAUCAGCAACGAUGGGACUGCGGCACGGCCCAGUCUGCGACGGGAGGGAGCAGUGGGGAACAUUGUAGGAGGAGCGCAAGCCUGAUCCAGCCACGCCGCGUAAGUGAUGAAGCCCGUAGGGUUGUAAUUCCCUCUUACCCGGGAUGAUAGUGACGGUACCGGCAGAAGAAGCGCCGGCUAACUCCGUG
Molecule: ribosomal RNA, 433 nt
Filed under: uncultured bacterium
Lineage: Bacteria
Description: partial 16S ribosomal RNA
Rfam family: Bacterial small subunit ribosomal RNA
Source: RNAcentral